Molecule: long non-coding RNA, 481 nt
Organism: Cervus elaphus (red deer)
Lineage: Eukaryota; Metazoa; Chordata; Mammalia; Artiodactyla; Cervidae
Exons: 3
Source: RefSeq, a predicted model, not a curated record
UCUCAAAGUGCCUUCUUAGGACCUUCUCACUGCCUUCUCACCAGGAUUUGUCUUGCACUUCAGCACUGUUUGAGAUGCAUCAAAAGCAAAGAGAGUAUAUAGGAGUUCAUUAGCCUCAUGUCCAUCUAGAGGUCAGAAAGAUGGGAGGAGCCAGAAAGGAGACUGAGAGCAGCCGCUGAGGAGAGGAAGGAGUCCUGAAAACCAAAGGAAGAAAAAUAAAAGUGAUCAUUUGUUGAGGACACUGCUGAUGGGCCAAGCAUCCACACAAAUACCACCCAAGCAUCCUUUCUGUGCAAUGAAGAUCAUAAGAAAACCUCCCUAAAACAGACUUGACUGUUUCAUUUGUGACUAGUUGAAGGUACAAAAAUCAAAGUUUCCCUUUACCUUAGAAAUAAGUGUUUCCAAAGGAAAAUCUGUCUACAGAAUUAUACUGGAAAUUUUGUUGUUGUUCAGUCACUAAGUCACGUUCAACUCUUUGAAA